This is a long non-coding RNA of Lepisosteus oculatus (spotted gar), 426 nucleotides long. RefSeq lists it as uncharacterized. The record is from RefSeq and is a predicted model, not a curated record. Lineage: Eukaryota; Metazoa; Chordata; Actinopteri; Semionotiformes; Lepisosteidae.
UCUCAAUGAGCAGUUUAGACGCGGAGACCUCGAACAAAAUCACACGCCAUUCAAAUUGCACCGCAGCAGACAAACGCUCCUGAAGAGAGUUUUCACGUCCGGUGCUUAACAGCAAGAGAUGGAGGAAGAACUGCGCUAAAUGUAGCCACUUAAGACCGUGAGGAAAGCUGGAGAUUGGAGAAGACACCUUCUGCCCAGCUACAGACUGGCACGGGGGGCCACACCGAUCCCGGUGCUGACGGCUGUCUGGGAUUCUGGCCUGAGGCAGGUCCCGGUGACAGAUUAUUCAAGAAAACAGCCCCUGCUGGCCACAUACUUUACAAGUAAAUUCCUUACCAGGCUCUGCUUCAGAAAAUAUUUUUUUCUGCUGUUUUUGUUAAACCAGUGAGCAGCUGAGAGGAAUUUGUUCCGUGGUUCAUUCUUCAA